UGUGGAAGUAGUUGAUAUACUUGCCUUGC
Molecule: non-coding RNA, 29 nt
Filed under: Rattus norvegicus (Norway rat)
Lineage: Eukaryota; Metazoa; Chordata; Mammalia; Rodentia; Muridae
Source: RNAcentral